Molecule: long non-coding RNA, 1770 nt
Organism: Macaca fascicularis (crab-eating macaque)
Lineage: Eukaryota; Metazoa; Chordata; Mammalia; Primates; Cercopithecidae
Source: Ensembl
CCCAGACCAGAUCACAAAGUCUAAUACCCUGAUAACACUAUGCAGAAGGGACAUCCCAUGGGGAGAUUCAUAGAAAUAAAAGAAGAUGCCUGAGGAUCUCAGUAGUUCAGCCCCUGCUAUUUGAAUCAUGGUAGCCAUGACACCAGGGAGAUGAGAAGACAUCUGCCAAUGUCCCUACCCUGAGCCAUCACUGGAUUUCAUCCUCCUGAGUGCCACUGAACCCAAUCAUUUGGCUGAGAGACUGUGGAAGAUUGCAGACUGAUAGUUAGUAAAUUGUAAUUAUUGUUAUGAACCACUAAGUUUUAGAUAAUUUGGAAAAGCACUUUAGACUCCUAGAAAAACUGAGUUGUCUGUUGAUUUGAGUAAUUGAGGAGAGCUUUAAAGGCCAAUGUCACAAAUGCUAAUACGCUGGAAAAGUCAAACCAUCAAGGCUCUUCUAAACACAAGAGAUCUUUACUGUCCCCUUGCUAUGGAUGGAGAAUAAUCUAACAUGUAUCUGAUGGAGAUUUUUGAAAGCCUCUGUUCACGAAUCUCUUGGUUUCAUAUGGGUCAACUCUGGUCUGAUUUAAUUCUAGGCAACUGCACAACUCAUCUUUCAUUUUAGGUUCUGGCCUACACUGAUUUUUUGAUGACUGACUGUCUGUAUGUUUUGUGUGUUAUCACAUUUUAUCUGAAGGGGCUAAAUAAUAGUGCUAUAGUUGUUUUGUAAACAUAAAGCAUUCCAAGAAGACAAUAUUAUCAACUGAGCUUUAAAAGAGGUAUGAAGCAGGGCACGGAUGCUCACACCUGCACUCCCAGCAGUUUGGCAGGCUGAGGUGGGCAGAUCUCUUGAUGUCGGGAGUUUGAGGCAAGCCUGGCCAACAUGGCAAGAUCCCAUGUCUAAUAUCAUACCAAAACUAGCCAGGCUUGGUGGCCCAUGGAUGUAACACCAGCUACUCACAAGGCUGAUGUAGGAGAAUCCAUUGAACUCCAGGGAUGGAGUUUGCAGUGAAGUGAGAUCACACCACUGCACUCCAGCCUGGGCACCAGAGCAAGACUGUCUCAGAAAUAAAAUGAAAUAAAAAAAUAAAAGAGAUAGGUGAGAUGACUAAGGAGAGUGCCGUGACCAGCUUGGUAGGGGAGACCUAACCCAACAGCACUAGAGGAAUUAAAGACACACACACAUAAACAUAGUGGUGUGAAGUGGGAAAUCAGGGGUCUCACAAUCUUUAGAGCUGAGAGCCCUGAACAGAGAUUUACCCAUGUAUUUAUUAAUAGCAAGCCAGUCAUCAGCAUUGUUUCUAUAGAUAUUAAAUAGACUAAAAGUAUACCUUAUGAGAAACGAAGAGAUGGGCCUAAUUAAAAGAAUAGGUUGGACUAGUUAACUGCAGCAGGAGCAUGUCCUUAAGGCACAGAUCACUAAUGCUAUUGUGUGUGGCUUAAGAAUGCCUUUAAGCACUUUUCCACCCUGGGCGGGCCAGGUGUUCCUUGCCCUCAUUCUUGUGAACCCAAAACCUUCCAGUGUGGGCGUUAAGGCCAUCACGAACAGGUCACAGUGCUGUAGAGAUCUUGUUUAUCAACAGUUUUGGGGCCAGUUUAUAGCCAGAUUUUACGGGGCUUGUUCCCAACAGGAGAGAAAUGCAUAAAACUUGGUGAACAUUGUGGUUCAUGAUUGGAAUCCCAGCAUUUUGAAAGGCUGAGGUGGCUGCAUCACUUGAGGACAGGAGUUUGAGCCCAGCCUGAGCAAACAUUGUGAAACCAGGUCUCUAUUAAAAAUAUCAAAAAGAAAAA